Molecule: long non-coding RNA, 3409 nt
Organism: Anas platyrhynchos (mallard)
Lineage: Eukaryota; Metazoa; Chordata; Aves; Anseriformes; Anatidae
Source: RefSeq, a predicted model, not a curated record
GCUUUCUGGAAGUAGAAAGAAAGCAAAGAAGCGUUAGAAAUUUGAGCUGAAAAAUAAUUUAUUGUAGUUACGCUAAGCAGCUACAUUUGUGAACAAAACAGCUUUGUAUUUACUGCCCGUGAUAGACUUUGGCAGAUAAGACUUUGGCUACCAAAGCAAGGACAUAACGGAUCCAGAUGUGAACUUCAGAGAAGCCUUUCAUCUUUAUACCCGGCUUUCCUGGCUAUGAGGAUAGCUCAUGCUUCUUUCAUUAGCUGAUGUGUUUCUUGUAUUGUUUACGCUGACAGAGCAGUGCAGUCCUGGAUUUUCUAUGCUAAAAAGCCAUUUCUUCCAUGGGUGAUAAGCGAAGCAGCGAAGUAUCAGCUAUUUACAGGCAAGAAACCAAAGUUUGCACAUUUCUGAACUGGUGUGACCUGGUGUGGCAGAGCGGCUAUUAAGCUCCAGUUAUCCCACCACGUUAAUUACAGCCAUCUUAAUGAUUUGUUAGUUCCGUGUAAUCAGCUAGGAACUCUGCUACACAGAGGGCAAAUCCGCCAGCAUUACUCUGCUUUGCUCAGCUACGUCCUGGGGUUUACCCAGUAGUGCUCAUCUUCCUGCUGAUUCCCCCCAGCAAUCAGAGGAUUGCUUAAGUGUAACGAGACCAAAGGUCACAAGAUAGUGCUCCAUUGGUUUGCUUUUUUUCUAAUCUCAGCAAUUCUGCAGGCUCUGAACCUCAUCUUCCAAUAUUUACUCCUCUGCCCAUGGUAUGUGUGUCUGUAGUUCCCCUGAACCCCGCAGAUCUACUCAGAUUGAUUCCUAAUAGACUGAGGGGCCACACGUCCCAAAUCUGUGUUUCUUUUGCAAUAUCUCUGGAAAUUUUCACAGAUCUCUGCCCAGAUUGGGCAAAGGGUCACACAGAAAUCUGUUGAGUUGCUUUAGUCUACAAGAAACAAACUCAUCUGCCAGGAAAAUCCCCCAGGAAGGCUUUGCCCAGGCCAGCUGCAGGACACCACAGCGCUCAGCAAAACGCUGAGACCAACCUGUUGAUACCAACUGGGAGAAACUGCAAGGAUCAGCUUUGACUUUUGCUCUGCCAUCACAAACGUCUCUGGCAGUUUAGCAUGCAGGGGAAAACAGCAAGGGAAUGGUUAUCGAUGUGCUGGGGCAAUCACACCCAGCAUUACUAGCAGAGACCAAAUAGUGUCUGCUGCCCAGCUGGCACGCUCAACCCGAAAUUACCCUUUGGCACACACCGAUGCAGGUGACUGUGAGAAAAAGUGGCCCACCAGGACCAAGCAGCUGUGGUCAGCAUCACACCAGCAACUCAAAACUCUUCCAGGUGCAAUACAAGACAACGACGCAGGUGGACACCAUCAUGGGAUGAAGCUGCAGGAACUAUGCCUGCCGUGCUGCUGCAGGUACUGAGCUGCCUCCCUUAUCUGAGAGCUAAAUGAAAACAGAUGAACUGAAAGCAAGAGUGCCUUCGCAGCGUGCACGUUAGCAGUUAUGGCAACAGGGCUCCAUGAGUCACUUCAUGUGGUUUUCUGUGACAGCAUCCUCCCGCUUCUAGAAGCUCAGAGAACUCAGCUCAGAGAACUAAUGGCACAAAACACCAGUGAGGCAUUUCUGAAAUGUGAAAGCACGUCACACAGAUGGCAAGGGGAGAUCACACAGGGUACAGAGACCUUUGAUGUCUUCUGAAACCAGAGGCAGGAGAAAUGCCUGCUGGUACACGUGUCCUGAGGUAAGUAACUGGACUUGUUGCUUACUUUGCUUUGGCCAAGACCCUGAGAAAUGCCACUGGAUUUUUCAUUGGAUGAAAUGACAUUUCCAGCACAGCCUGACUGAGCUGAGCGGUCAUGGACAGAAGAAGUUAAGGAAGGAAGAUGAACAAUGUGAAACAUCAAUGAUUUAGCUUUUACACUGAUGUGUUUGUAAGAUUUUGCUCAGAAGGCUACUGUUCUACCUGAAGGAUGGUGGCAUGUAACAGACUGGAAAUGCUGAGGACCUCCCAGUCCUCACAAUCUGUCACAGUAAAUGGCUACAGGAAUGCAUUGCUGCUGUGCAAACUCUUGCUAUGCAAGUAGAGAUCACAAAACUGAGUGUGAAAUAGCACCCAAAUCUGCAGUGAAAAAACAGAGUUUUCCCUGGAAGUUUAUAGGCACUUGCUGCUGUGAUGCUGUGCCACCUCACAGGCACAGACAUCAGUGAGAAUACACCCUGAAAACUUACAGUGUAGAAGGCUGCUCAGAAAUAUUGACUUGAGCUUUGAUCUUCAAAUCUUUCUGAAUUUGUUGGUCACAGGCCUGCUUGAAAUUGCCCAUGUAUAACUUUGCAGGCAGUAUUUCUACAGGGUACAGCUGGAAGUUGUCUAGUUCCUGCAAGGAGAGAAGCCGUGGGUUCAGUUCAGAGCAUAUUUGCUCUUUUAGCUCCUUAAACAGAAGUCACGUAGAGAAAUGAACACACACUUAGUCAGCAGCCCAUGACACAUUUGAAUGUAAUGAUGCAUUCAAUCACCCGGACAUUCUGAAAUAUGGAAGUCUUGCUAGAUUUAGUGAGAAUAAUUAACAAAAACACUGUCAUUGUGGCAUUACUUGAAACAAAUCCUAACUAAACAGGUGGAAGAAUAUAUUCUUUGCAAUGUCUGGAGGAACCACAGCAUAACGGAUUCAUUUGAUGUUUUCUCCGGUUAUCGUUCACAAGGCCAACUGAAGUCAUCUGCCACCUGCAGAGCUGCAGGUGCAACGUCGUGGCACAGCACAAGUCCACAGAGAUUUUGUCUCUGUGCUGCCGAAAGGCUGAGAACAAAAAUAUACAAGUAGGCAGCAGUGCUUCUACAUCCAUAACUGAUACUCCGUAAUGCUGCAUCGGAACAAAACUGCAGCUCAACAGCUUAGAGCAUCAGAGAGCAACAGCUUAAACUGAGCUGAGGAGGUAAUUCUGUGUCCAGCUGAAUCUGCUGGGGGAGUUUAGCAGUUUGCUGCCCCUCACAAAGGAGCACAGUGAAUUCAUUUUCUGUGCUGUAGCAUCCCGCAAGGUUGGCACUGUGUCGUGGGCUGCUUCGUGUGAAGCAGAUGUGAAGUAGUAGGAAUUGGACACAAAGGAUGUUGCUGUACAGUGCCCUCUAAAUCUGCCCUGCUGCAGGUCCUGUCCUAGAUGUGAAAAUAGGACAAUUGUUUCUCCCAAGUUAAAUAGAUCAAUGUUUGCAGGUGAAACCAAACAAUCAAGGUACCAGUGUACCAGUGGAUGGCUCCUUUCUUUCUGGGCCUAUUGAAGCAAUGCUCCAACAUUUGCUUUGUGACCCUUCCAGACAAAAAGCUUUAUAGGCAUGAAAUACAGGGCUUGAUAGUUGCACCUCUGUCUGGAAACAUUUACUGUGUAACAUCUCAGAUAACCUCAUAUAAAAGAGAUUAAAGAGGAGCCUGCCUUA